RNAcentral lists this ribosomal RNA (302 nucleotides) under uncultured bacterium. Its description in RNAcentral is "partial 16S ribosomal RNA". It matches the Rfam family "Bacterial small subunit ribosomal RNA", at positions 508 to 807 of the family's 1533-position model. The record is from RNAcentral.
GCAGCAGCCGCGGUAAUACGUAGGUGGCAAGCGUUGUCCGGAAUUAUUGGGCGUAAAGGGCUCGCAGGCGGUUUCUUAAGUCUGAUGUGAAAGCCCCCGGCUCAACCGGGGAGGGUCAUUGGAAAUUGGGAAACUUGAGUGCAGAAGAGGAGAGUGGAAUUCCACGUGUAGCGGUGAAAUGCGUAGAGAUGUGGAGGAACACCAGUGGCGAAGGCGACUCUCUGGUCUGUAACUGACGCUGAGGAGCGAAAGCGUGGGGAGCGAACAGGAUUAGAUACCCGUGUAGUCCCUGUCUCUUAUAC